GAUGAAGAACGUAGUGAAAUGCGAUAAGUAAUGCGAAUUGCAGAAUUCAGUGAAUCAUCGAAUCUUUGAACGCACAUUGCGCCCAUUAGUAUUCUAGUGGGCAUGCCUGUUCGAGCGUCAUUAAUUCCACUUAAGCCCUGCUUAGUGUUGGGAAUCUACUCUAGUGGUGCUACCCUGGAGCUACCCCUGAAAGGGGGCUGGCCCGGUAGCUACCCUGUAGUUCCUCAAAGAUAGUGCGCGGAGUUGCGUGGUCCUCUGAGCUUAGUAACUAUACACCUAGCUUUUGAGUGUCCCGCGGCGCCUGCCGUUUAAACCCCAUCUUUUAAUGGUUGACCUCGGAUCAGGUAGGAAUACCCGCUGAACUUAAGCAUAUCAAUAAGCGGAGGA
RNAcentral lists this unclassified non-coding RNA (387 nucleotides) under soil metagenome. Its description in RNAcentral is "partial contains 5.8S ribosomal RNA, internal transcribed spacer 2, and large subunit ribosomal RNA". The stretch from base 1 to 120 matches the Rfam family "5.8S ribosomal RNA", at positions 35 to 154 of the family's 154-position model. The record is from RNAcentral.